GGUUGUGGCUCAGUGGUAAAGCUCUUACCUACCAUGUAAGAGGCACUGGGUUCAAUUCUCAGCACCA
This 67-nucleotide transfer RNA is filed under the name Marmota monax (woodchuck). RNAcentral's name for it is "tRNA.Gly". It matches the Rfam family "tRNA". Rfam says of the family: Transfer RNA (tRNA) molecules are approximately 80 nucleotides in length. Their secondary structure includes four short double-helical elements and three loops (D, anti-codon, and T loops). The record is from RNAcentral. Lineage: Eukaryota; Metazoa; Chordata; Mammalia; Rodentia; Sciuridae.